CAACAGGGAUUGCCCCAGUAACGGCGAGUGAAGCGGCAACAGCUCAAAUUUGAAAUCUGGCCCCUAGGGUCCGAGUUGUAAUUUGUAGAGGAUGCUUUUGGUGAGGUGCCGCCCGAGUUCCCUGGAACGGGACGCCGCAGAGGGUGAGAGCCCCGUCUGGCUGGCCACCGAGCCUCUGUAAAGCUCCUUCGACGAGUCGAGUAGUUUGGGAAUGCUGCUCAAAAUGGGAGGUAUAUGUCUUCUAAAGCUAAAUAUUGGCCAGAGACCGAUAGCGCACAAGUAGAGUGAUCGAAAGAUGAAAAGCACCUUGAAAAGAGGGUUAAACAGUACGUGAAAUUGUUGAAAGGGAAGCGCUUGUGACCAGACUUGGGCGCGGCGAAUCAUCCGGGGUUCUCUCCGGUGCACUUCGCCGUGUUCAGGCCAGCAUCAGUUCGGCGCGGGGGAAAAAGGCUUCGGGAACGUGGCUGCUCCGGCAGUGUUAUAGCCCGUUGCAUAAUACCCUGCGCUGGACUGAGGACCGCGCAUCUGCAAGGAUGCUGGCGUAAUGGUCACCAGCGACCCGUCUUGAAACACGGACCAAGGAGUCGUCUUCGUAUGCGAGUGUUCGGGUGUCAAACCCCUACGCGUAAUGAAAGUGAACGCAGGUGAGAGCUUCGGCGCAUCAUCGACCGAUCCUGAUGUUCUCGGAUGGAUUUGAGUAAGAGCAUACGGGGCCGGACCCGAAAGAAGGUGAACUAUGCCUGUAUAGGGUGAAGCCAGAGGAAACUCUGGUGGAGGCUCGCAGCGGUUCUGACGUGCAAAUCGAUCGUCAAAUAUGGGCAUGGGGGCGAAAGACUAAUCGA
RNAcentral lists this ribosomal RNA (842 nucleotides) under Trichoderma koningiopsis. RNAcentral's name for it is "eukaryotic LSU rRNA". It matches the Rfam family "Eukaryotic large subunit ribosomal RNA", at positions 66 to 938 of the family's 3401-position model. The record is from RNAcentral. Lineage: Eukaryota; Fungi; Ascomycota; Sordariomycetes; Hypocreales; Hypocreaceae.